This 253-nucleotide ribosomal RNA is filed under the name uncultured bacterium. RNAcentral's name for it is "partial 16S ribosomal RNA". It matches the Rfam family "Bacterial small subunit ribosomal RNA", at positions 524 to 776 of the family's 1533-position model. The record is from RNAcentral.
UACGGAGGGAGCAAGCGGUAUACGGAAUUACUGGGCUUAAAGGGUGCGUAGGCUGCGCUAUAAGUCGGGUGUGAAAUCCCUCAGCUCAACUGAGGAACUGCGCCCGAUACUGUAGUGCUUGAGGAGGAUAGAGGUGAGCGGAACUAGCAGUGGAGCGGUGAAAUGCGUUGAAAUUGCUGGGAACACCCGUGGCGAACGCGGAUCAUCGGAUCCUUUCCGAAGCUGACCCACGAAACCUAGGGGAGCGAACGGG